GAGUUUGAUCAUGGCUCAGGAUGAACGCUGGCGGCGUGCUUAACACAUGCAAGUCGAACGAACCUUCGGGUUAGUGGCGGACGGGUGAGUAACGCGUGAGAAUCUGCCCUCAGGAGGGGGAUAACGGCUGGAAACGGCCGCUAAUACCCCAUAUGCCGCGAGGUGAAAUGAAUUUCGCCUGAGGAUGAGCUCGCGUCUGAUUAGCUAGUUGGUGUAGGUAAUGGCUCACCAAGGCAUCGAUCAGUAGCUGGUCUGAGAGGAUGAUCAGCCACACUGGGACUGAGACACGGCCCAGACUCCUACGGGAGGCAGCAGUGGGGAAUUUUCCGCAAUGGGCGCAAGCCUGACGGAGCAACGCCGCGUGAGGGAUGAAGGCCUCUGGGCUGUAAACCUCUUUUAUCAAGGAAGAAGAUCUGACGGUACUUGAUGAAUAAGCCACGGCUAAUUCCGUGCCAGCAGCCGCGGUAAUACGGGAGUGGCAAGCGUUAUCCGGAAUUAUUGGGCGUAAAGCGUCCGCAGGCGGCCCUUCAAGUCUGCUGUUAAAAAGUGGAGCUUAACUCCAUCAUGGCAGUGGAAACUGAGGGGCUUGAGUGUGGUAGGGGCAGAGGGAAUUCCCGGUGUAGCGGUGAAAUGCGUAGAUAUCGGGAAGAACACCAGUGGCGAAGGCGCUCUGCUGGGCCAUCACUGACGCUCAUGGACGAAAGCCAGGGGAGCGAAAGGGAUUAGAUACCCCUGUAGUCCUGGCCGUAAACGAUGAACACUAGGUGUCGGGGGAAUCGACCCCCUCGGUGUCGUAGCCAACGCGUUAAGUGUUCCGCCCUGGGGAGUACGCACGCAAGUGUGAAACUCAAAGGAAUUGACGGGGGCCCGCACAAGCGGUGGAGUAUGUGGUUUAAUUCGAUGCAACGCGAAGAACCUUACCAGGGUUUGACAUCCUGCGAAUCUCUUGGAAACGAGAGAGUGCCUUCGGGAGCGCAGUGACAGGUGGCGCAUGGCUGUCGUCAGCUCGUGUCGUGAGAUGUUGGGUUAAGUCCCGCAACGAGCGCAACCCACGUCUUUAGUUGCCAGCAUUUAGUUGGGCACUCUAGAGAGACCGCCGGUGAUAAACCGGAGGAAGGUGUGGAUGACGUCAAGUCAUCAUGCCCCUUACAUCCUGGGCUACACACGUACUACAAUGCUACGGACAAAGGGCAGCAAGUUCGCGAGGACAAGCAAAUCCCAUAAACCGUGGCUCAGUUCAGAUCGUAGGCUGCAACUCGCCUACGUGAAGGAGGAAUCGCUAGUAAUCGCAGGUCAGCAUACUGCGGUGAAUACGUUCCCGGGCCUUGUACACACCGCCCGUCACACCAUGGAAGUUGGCCACGCCCGAAGCCGUUACUCCAACCCUUGUGGAGGAGGACGUCGAAGGUGGGGCUGAUGACUGGGGUGAAGUCGUAACAAGGUAACC
RNAcentral lists this ribosomal RNA (1447 nucleotides) under uncultured marine cyanobacterium. RNAcentral describes it as "bacterial SSU rRNA". It matches the Rfam family "Bacterial small subunit ribosomal RNA". Lineage: Bacteria; Bacillati; Cyanobacteriota. The record is from RNAcentral.